RNAcentral lists this long non-coding RNA (553 nucleotides) under Felis catus (domestic cat). RNAcentral's name for it is "lncRNA (ENSFCAG00000052833.1)". Lineage: Eukaryota; Metazoa; Chordata; Mammalia; Carnivora; Felidae. The record is from RNAcentral.
GUAAACUAUAGCCUCUACAACUUUGUAGACAGAUUAUAGCUCAUCAGUAUGACUGAAAAAUCACUGUGGAAUUGCUCUGUAAUAGUUCUGUUGCUAUGCCUAUAAAUAUAAUUUUACUGAGAGACUUUUCCAUUUUCUAGCUCCUCGGUAUCCUUUCCUGUGUCAAACGAAAGGGCCUCAGGAAUAUCGUAAAUGACAAAUUAAAAGAGUCUCAGAUAAAACACGUUUUACAAAUUCAGGGCCUUCUUCUCUCAGAGCUGUGAUGGCCAAAGAAGGGAUGCUACCAGAAGUUUGUUGGUCCAUGAGUCUAUCUCCGAUAUUCUCCACCCAGGAUAUACUGCACACUACUGAAGAUUAGAGUUUUUAAAGUCAGACUGCAAGUCGAGUUUUAAGCCUGAGAAGCAGGAAGCCAUCGCCUGGAAAAGAGGCCACUGGACCAACAUGUUUCCAAGGAGCUGCAUCCCAGUUGGCGACCUACGCCCCAGGCUUUGUUUUGGCAAGGGCAUGGCUUCUCCCACAGACCAUAGCUGAAAGUGCUAGUGUGGAUUUAAGG